This 627-nucleotide small RNA is filed under the name Pan troglodytes (chimpanzee). Its description in RNAcentral is "processed transcript". The record is from RNAcentral. Lineage: Eukaryota; Metazoa; Chordata; Mammalia; Primates; Hominidae.
UUUGCUUGCCCAGUUCCAGUGCCCAUGUAUUCUGGUUCUGUCUCUGGAAGCUCCUGUGGCAGCUCUCCAUCUUGUCGUUUUGCUUCUCCACCAAUGAUAUGCCAAUGGGGACUGCUGGCAGACGUGCUUCAAAUGAAUUCUUGGUGUGUGGAGGGCAGUGUCAGCCUACUGUGUCACCUCACAGCGAAACAGCACCAAUUCCAGUUCCUACUCAAAUAAGGAAUUAUCAGCGCAUAGAGCAGAAUCUUACAUCUACUGCCAGCUCAGGCACAAAUGUACAUGGUUCUCCAAGAUCUGCAGUGGUACGAAGGUCCAACACCAGCCCCAUGGGCUUCCUCCGGCCGGGAUCAUGCUCCCCAGUACCAGCAGACACAGCACAGACAGUUGGACGAAGGCUCUCCACUGGGUCUUCUAGGCCUUACUCACCUUCCCCUUUGGUUGGUACCAUUCCUGAGCAAUUCAGUCAGUGCUGCUGUGGGCAUCCUCAGGGCCAUGACUCCAGGAGUAGAAACUCCUCAGGUUCUCCAGUCCCACAAGCUCAGUCCCCACAGUCUCUCUUAUCGGGUGCUAGACUGCAGAGCGCCCCCACCCUCACUGACAUCUAUCAGAACAAGCAGAAGCUCAGAA